UCUAAGGCUCUCCUCAGAGCCAUAAUUAAAAUAAUAGAAUGCAUAU
This is a non-coding RNA of Stegodyphus mimosarum, 46 nucleotides long. NCBI's taxonomy places the organism in Eukaryota, Metazoa, Arthropoda, Arachnida, Araneae, Eresidae. The record is from Rfam.